AUCAAUAAGCGGAGGAAAAGAAAAUAACAAUGAUUCCCCUAGUAACUGCGAGUGAAGAGGGACAAGCUCAAAUUUUAAAUCUAUCGGGUUUUACCUGAUCGAGUUGUAAUUUGAAGAUGGCGUUUUCUGUGUUUCUGAUCAGUCCAAGUCCUUUGGGAUAAGGCAUCAUGGAGGGUGAGAAUCCCGUUCGGUUGAUCAGAUUCGCUUUACGAUACGUUAUCAAAGAGUCAAGUUGUUUGGGAUUGCAGCUUAAAAUGGGAGGUAAAUUUCUCCUAAGGCUAAAUAACGGCGAGAGACCGAUAGCGAACAAGUACCGUGAGGGAAAGAUGAAAAGAACUUUGAAAAGAGAGUUAAACAGUACGUGAAAUUGUUGAAAGGGGAAACGAUUGAAGCCAGUCGUAACCUUCGGGGUAAUCAAGCCUUUUGGGGUGUGAUUUUGUGGAGCGUGAAGAGUUAAACGCCUUCAUGCCUGCAUAUUCGUGCACUUUGGGUGUACUUGCCCGUAUGGUUGGUUAACAUCAAUUUUGGUGGUCAUAAAAUGACUGGAGGAAUGUAGCUUCGAUCUUGUAUUGAAGUGUUAUAGCCUUCGGUAGAUGUGAUGAUCGAGAUUGAGGAUUGCAACGGAUACCCUUCGGGGCUACCUGUCUGGUCUCUGAUCGUUGCUCUGGUGCCGAAAGCUUGCUUACGGUUAUCAAAGUCGAUGGUCAAUAGGUUAGAACGGGUUAAAUUCGUUAAGGAUGUUGACGUAAUGGCUUUAAACGACCCGUUCUUGAAACACGGACCAAGGAGUCUAACAUAUAUGCGAGUGUUAGGGUGAUUAAACCCUUACGCGUAAUGAAAGUAAUUUUGGUGGGAACACUUUUGUGCACCAUCGACCGAUCAGGAUAUUUUUUGAUAGAUUUGAGUAAGAGCAUAUCUGCUAGGACCCGAAAGAUGGUGAACUAUGCCUGAAUAGGGUGAAGUCAGAGGAAACUCUGAUGGAGGCUCGUAGCGGUUCUGACGUGCAAAUCGAUCGUCAAAUUUGGGUAUAGGGGCGAAAGACUAAUCGAACCAUCUAGUAGCUGGUUCCUGCCGAAGUUUCCCUCAGGAUAGCAGAAACUCGUUAACAGUUUUAUGAGGUAAAGCGAAUGAUUAGAGGCCUUAGGGUUGAAACAGCCUUAACCUAUUCUCAAACUUUAAAUAUGUAAGAAGUUUAUCGUUACUUAAUUGAACGUGAACAUUCGAAUGAGAUUUCUAUGGCC
RNAcentral lists this ribosomal RNA (1241 nucleotides) under Glomus sp. MUCL 43205. RNAcentral describes it as "eukaryotic LSU rRNA". It matches the Rfam family "Eukaryotic large subunit ribosomal RNA", at positions 42 to 1132 of the family's 3401-position model. Lineage: Eukaryota; Fungi; Glomeromycota; Glomeromycetes; Glomerales; Glomeraceae. The record is from RNAcentral.